UACAGAGGGUGCAAGCGUUAAUCGGAAUUACUGGGCGUAAAGCGCGCGUAGUCGGUUAUUUAAGUCGGGCGUGAAAGCCCCGGGCUCAACCUGGGAAUUGCGUUCGAUACUGGAUAGCUAGAGUUCGGCAGAGGGAAGCGGAAUUUCGGGUGUAGCGGUGAAAUGCGUAGAUAUCCGAAGGAACAUCAGUGGCGAAAGCGGCUUCCUGGACCAGAACUGACGAUCAGGCACGAAAGCGUGGGGAGCAAACAGG
Molecule: ribosomal RNA, 253 nt
Filed under: uncultured bacterium
Lineage: Bacteria
Description: partial 16S ribosomal RNA
Rfam family: Bacterial small subunit ribosomal RNA
Source: RNAcentral